AAAAUAUUAAUUAAAUAAUAAUAAUAUAGAUUUGUCAAGUCUAACUUACUUUGAAAGUAUAUUUUA
RNAcentral lists this transfer RNA (66 nucleotides) under Paranurophorus simplex. RNAcentral's name for it is "tRNA-Asp". Lineage: Eukaryota; Metazoa; Arthropoda; Collembola; Entomobryomorpha; Isotomidae. The record is from RNAcentral.